RNAcentral lists this long non-coding RNA (905 nucleotides) under Zea mays. Its description in RNAcentral is "long non-coding RNA (ZMAY_LNC000722)". The record is from RNAcentral. Lineage: Eukaryota; Viridiplantae; Streptophyta; Magnoliopsida; Poales; Poaceae.
CGAGACAGAACAGAAGGUCCUUCGAUACCUGCCUUCAAUUAUUUAUUCCUGGGAUGGCAAACAAAUUUAGGACUACCAUUCAACUCAUCAUUCUAGAGAGUAGAGACGUGCUGAUGAUGCAAUGGAUAGCCAAAACUUAACCCGAAGCAUCUGGGAUACUAACAAAUGGCAGGCACAGCAGGAAUUCCACUCGUACAAGUCACCUCAGGAUUUGCACGGUUGAUAGGGGUAAUCCCCCAAGUAUAUAUAUCCUAUCCAGAGAGGGAUUGACUGGAUCGUUCCUACGGCAUUCAAUCCUUUGGGGGUUUACGGUUUAGUGACCCCUCUCCCUCUCUAAUCCCUCUCUUUGAAACCAUCUGUUCGGUUAACGCAGGGAUUGCAACCCUGUGAUUGCUCCACAAGUUUAAACAUAAAACAUAUCACUAUGCUCUCUCCAAAAAAAAUUAAACAUCCCAGUCAUACAAUUCCCAACACAUAUAAUCCUUCUUUGUUCGAAUUAAACACAGAUUUGACGCAUGCUAAAUAAAAAAAUCACAAAAUGGUAAAAUUUAACAUUUAGCAAUGAUCAAAUAUGCUGCAACAGCACAGGAUAUGUAUCAACAGGCAUGUUACCUUCAAGUGCUACAAACAUCAAGCCUAAAGAUGCCUCAACUGGCAGAAUAUAAAUUUACUUCCUCUUUCUCUGAUCCGAUUGCUUUCUCCCACCCUAUAACACCAUGAGACAAACGAGCGAAUAUGCACAAUAAACCAAAGUAGAUUGCAACAAAAAAAGAAUAUGAGACAAUAAUACAAUAAAUGGUCCUAUAAUAUAAUGGGUAUCGUUGUUAAUUUUCAAGUGUACAUGUAGCAGUAGAAAAUGGGGAAAAAAUCACUGAGUCUGUUAAUGAGUAAUAUGCUACAAUCAG